UGCAGUCGAACGGCAGCACGGAGCUUGCUCUGGUGGCGAGUGGCGAACGGGUGUGUAAUAUAUCGGAACGUACCCUAGAGUGGGGGAUAACGUAGCGAAAGUUACGCUAAUACCGCAUACGAUCUAAGGAUGAAAGUGGGGGAUCGCAAGACCUCAUGCUCGUGGAGCGGCCGAUAUCUGAUUAGCUAGUUGGUAGGGUAAAAGCCUACCAAGGCAUCGAUCAGUAGCUGGUCUGAGAGGACGACCAGCCACACUGGAACUGAGACACGGUCCAGACUCCUACGGGAGGCAGCAGUGGGGAAUUUUGGACAAUGGGCGAAAGCCUGAUCCAGCAAUGCCGCGUGAGUGAAGAAGGCCUUCGGGUUGUAAAGCUCUUUUGUCAGGGAAGAAACGGUGAGAGCUAAUAUCUCUUGCUAAUGACGGUACCUGAAGAAUAAGCACCGGCUAACUACGUGCCAGCAGCCGCGGUAAUACGUAGGGUGCAAGCGUUAAUCGGAAUUACUGGGCAUAAAGCGUGCGCAGGCGGUUUUGUAAGUCUGAUGUGAAAUCCCCGGGCUCAACCUGNGAAUUGCAUUGGAGACUGCAAGGCUAGAAUCUGGCAGAGGGGGGUAGAAUUCCACGUGUAGCAGUGA
This 632-nucleotide ribosomal RNA is filed under the name uncultured bacterium. Its description in RNAcentral is "bacterial SSU rRNA". It matches the Rfam family "Bacterial small subunit ribosomal RNA", at positions 56 to 684 of the family's 1533-position model. The record is from RNAcentral.